UACGUAGGGUGCAAGCGUUACUCGGAAUUACUGGGCGUAAAGCGUGCGCAGGCGGUUUUGUAAGUCUGAUGUGAAAUCCCCGGGCUCAACCUGGGAAUUGCAUUGGAGACUGCAAGGCUAGAAUCUGGCAGAGGGGGGUAGAAUUCCACGUGUAGCAGUGAAAUGCGUAGAGAUGUGGAGGAACACCGAUGGCGAAGGCAGCCCCCCGGGUCAAGAUUGACGCUCAUGCACGAAAGCGUGGGGAGCAAACAGG
This 253-nucleotide ribosomal RNA is filed under the name uncultured bacterium. Its description in RNAcentral is "partial 16S ribosomal RNA". It matches the Rfam family "Bacterial small subunit ribosomal RNA", at positions 524 to 776 of the family's 1533-position model. The record is from RNAcentral.